RNAcentral lists this transfer RNA (71 nucleotides) under Marmota monax (woodchuck). It matches the Rfam family "tRNA". Rfam says of the family: Transfer RNA (tRNA) molecules are approximately 80 nucleotides in length. Their secondary structure includes four short double-helical elements and three loops (D, anti-codon, and T loops). RNAcentral also lists the same sequence under 2 other names. Lineage: Eukaryota; Metazoa; Chordata; Mammalia; Rodentia; Sciuridae. The record is from Rfam by way of RNAcentral.
GGGGGUGUAGCUCAGUGAUACAGCAUGUGCUUAGCAUGCAUAAGGUCCUAGGUUUGAUCCCAGCACCACAG